Molecule: transfer RNA, 75 nt
Filed under: Candidatus Nitrosocaldaceae archaeon
Lineage: Archaea; Thermoproteati; Nitrososphaerota; Nitrososphaeria; Candidatus Nitrosocaldales; Candidatus Nitrosocaldaceae
Also listed under: 1 other name
Description: tRNA-Ile
Rfam family: tRNA
About the family: Transfer RNA (tRNA) molecules are approximately 80 nucleotides in length. Their secondary structure includes four short double-helical elements and three loops (D, anti-codon, and T loops). Further hydrogen bonds mediate the characteristic L-shaped molecular structure. tRNAs have two regions of fundamental functional importance: the anti-codon, which is responsible for specific mRNA codon recognition, and the 3' end, to which the tRNAs corresponding amino acid is attached (by aminoacyl-tRNA synthetases). tRNAs cope with the degeneracy of the genetic code in two manners: having more than one tRNA (with a specific anti-codon) for a particular amino acid; and 'wobble' base-pairing, i.e. permitting non-standard base-pairing at the 3rd anti-codon position.
Source: RNAcentral
GGGCCGGUAGCUCAGCUUGGCUGGAGCGUUCGGCUGAUAACCGAAAGGUCAUGGGUUCGAAUCCCAUCCGGCCCA